CCCACCUGGGGAGGUCUGCCCCAUUAGGAAUUAAAUCUAGCUGGUGCUGCUGCAGCUGCAUUGGCAAAUGGGAGAGGGAAGGAGGCAGCAGCAUACAAACAGGACUAUUGUGCUAGGUGAAACUCAACACCAACUUGGCUAUGCAGGUUGUCUCCACCACUCUGUGUGUAAUAAUGGAUGUUUUGGACAAGGUCACAACUGUUGGACAAAUAUAUACAGGGAUAAUACACUCUGCAUGUCUGGAGCAGCACAUCUCUGGUGUCUGUAUUAGAGCUCAGAUCUCUUGAAUUCCGGUUCCUGGAUCUUUUGCUGAAUCAAUUGAAGAGACAUGUCCACUGUCAUUUGUGGAUGUUGUUUCAUCUUAUUUAUUUAUAAAUCAUUGGGGUACAUGCAGUAAAGACAAAAAAAAGAAGUUUCUACAUGGAAAAGAAAAUGGAAUACCCAUACAGUACCCCCCAUCCAUUAAAGCAGACUUCAGAAAUAAGUGUAAGGACCAUAUUAUUGGUGCAUGUUGAGGUUUCCCUCUAUUCUGAGUGACUCUUGAACAUCAGAUAUGUGCCAGCUACAAAGAGUGACUGAACAUGCUUGGGUCCAAGGACUAUGCUGGAGUGGGAUCACACGAUGGGAUAGAGAAGUUGGGACCAAGGAGAUCUGUGAGAGAAACUGCCUAUUUCUUGUUCAAAGGAGCCAAAAGCUACACAGAUGUGAAGAUCAGUGAGCAAGAAACUUCUCAGUGAAAAACAUGAGUCUCCUAAUAUCAUUAUGCUAAUUUGAUGGAUAUUGUUGGUGGAGCAUGGCUUCACUGCAUUGCCAUGAUGGACAGUGCCAUUCUUGACACAUGAUUAGAGAUAUGCCUUCUUUUGCAGUCAACCCACUCUCUUCAGCAGAUGAAUAUAAAAGUGUCUGAAAUGAAGAAAUUUCUUAUUUCUUCAUAAGUGUCUAAAUUAAGAACUGACCCUCCUGAUUCUCUGGUGAGAACUUUACAGUAAGUAUCGUAAAAUUUCAAUAAAAGUGCAUGUUUCAGAUCUAUCCUAAGCUUUUGCAACAACAGUUAGCAGAAAUCUGGAUGUUCAGGCAAAUGACAAAGACUACCUGUGCUGUCAUGAAAAUCACAUCAUUUAAUUUUCAUCUAGCUGUGUAAAAUAUAAGCCAUCAUUUUGGGAGACAUUGUAUAGUAUGCAGUGAUAAAAGUAUAUAGAUUUGUAAUUAUUAGAACUGAUAUAUUAAGCAAAAACCCAGAAUGCUCAAUGCUAAGAUUAAAAAUGUUCUGAUAUUUUGAAAGAUAUUACUUUUUUUUUUCUUACCCUACCUUGUUGUAGAAUUAAAUGAAAUUUAACUCAGCAUAUUGGUCAAAUGUUUGAAGUAUAAAAUGUUCUUUUUAAGCAAUGCUAUACAACAAUUCCCUAAAUAUAAGCUAAAUCUCACCAGAAGGACUGUACAACAGAGUUAAAGCCCAACAUAACUGUAGUAACAGAAAAGGAAAUAAUGGUCUUAGAUAUAGCAAAUUGUAGAAUCUUUUAUUUUAUCUGAGUUUGGUUUUGACAUGAGAUACACUGUGAAUAUGCAAUUUAAUUAAAUACAUUAACUUCAGAAUCACACAAGCUUUGCUUAUGCUUUUUGCUGCUUGUGUCAUGUUGUUUCCCUUUUGAUUGCUGUGACUUGAGAACAAGAAUGUACUGCAGAAUCUGUGAGACUCCACUGCUUCUAAAAGUUGGUACUCAUAUAAAACUUGAUAUUACAAA
This is a long non-coding RNA of Anas platyrhynchos (mallard), 1742 nucleotides long. RefSeq lists it as uncharacterized. Lineage: Eukaryota; Metazoa; Chordata; Aves; Anseriformes; Anatidae. The record is from RefSeq and is a predicted model, not a curated record.